AAGCUGUAACGGCCUAAGCAAAAGCUUCUAACUUUUAACUUGAGAGGUUCAACUCCUUUCACAGCUUU
This 68-nucleotide transfer RNA is filed under the name Tylorrhynchus heterochetus (Japanese palolo). RNAcentral's name for it is "tRNA-Ser". Lineage: Eukaryota; Metazoa; Annelida; Polychaeta; Phyllodocida; Nereididae. The record is from RNAcentral.